GAAUCCCGUCUUUGACACGGACUGCCUGCAUGUUAUGGUGCGCUCUCAAAGAGUCGAGUUGUUUGGGAAUGCAGCUCAAAAUGGGUGGUAAAUGCCAUCUAAAGCUAAAUAUUGGCGAGAGACCGAUAGCGAACAAGUACCGUGAGGGAAAGAUGAAAAGAACUUUGGAAAGAGAGUUAAACAGUACGUGAAAUUGCUGAAAGGGAAACGCUUGAAGUCAGUCGCGUCGGCUAGAAAUCAACCUUGCUUUUGCUUGGUGUACUUUCUUGUUGAUGGGUCAGCAUCAAUUUUGACCGUUGGAUAAAGUCGUUGGGAAUGUGGCAUCUUAGGAUGUGUUAUAGCCCAUCGUCGCAUACAGCGGUUGGGAUUGAGGAACUCAGCACACCCUUCUGGGGACGGGUUUCGACCACGUUUCGUGCUUAGGAUGCUGGCAUAAUGGCUUUAAUCGACCCGUCUUGAAACACGGACCAAGGAGUCUAACAUGCCUGCGAGUGUUUGGGUGGAAAACCCAUGCGCGCAAUGAAAGUGAAAGUUGAGAUCCCCUCAAGGGGAGCAUCGACGCCCGGACCAGAGCUUCUGUGACGGAUCCGCGGUAGAGCAUGUAUGUUGGGACCCGAAAGAUGGUGAACUAUGCCUGAAUAGGGUGAAGCCAGAGGAAACUCUGGUGGAGGCUCGUAGCGAUUCUGACGUGCAAAUCGAUCGUCAAAUUUGGGUAUAGGGGCGAAAGACUAAUCGAACCAUCUAGUAGCUGGUUCCUGCC
RNAcentral lists this ribosomal RNA (760 nucleotides) under uncultured Inocybe. RNAcentral describes it as "partial 28S ribosomal RNA". It matches the Rfam family "Eukaryotic large subunit ribosomal RNA", at positions 216 to 962 of the family's 3401-position model. Lineage: Eukaryota; Fungi; Basidiomycota; Agaricomycetes; Agaricales; Cortinariaceae. The record is from RNAcentral.